GGGUUGUGAGGUUAAGCGACUAAGCGUACACGGUGGAUGCCCUGGCAGUCAGAGGCGAUGAAGGACGUGCUAAUCUGCGAUAAGCGUCGGUAAGGUGAUAUGAACCGUUAUAACCGGCGAUUUCCGAAUGGGGAAACCCAGUGUGAUUCGUCACACUAUCAUUAACUGAAUCCAUAGGUUAAUGAGGCGAACCGGGGGAACUGAAACAUCUAAGUACCCCGAGGAAAAGAAAUCAACCGAGAUUCCCCCAGUAGCGGCGAGCGAACGGGGAGCAGCCCAGAGCCUGAAUCAGUGUGUGUGUUAGUGGAAGCGUCUGGAAAGGCGCGCGAUACAGGGUGACAGCCCCGUACACAAAAAUGCACAUACUGUGAGCUCGAUGAGUAGGGCGGGACACGUGGUAUCCUGUCUGAAUAUGGGGGGACCAUCCUCCAAGGCUAAAUACUCCUGACUGACCGAUAGUGAACCAGUACCGUGAGGGAAAGGCGAAAAGAACCCCGGCGAGGGGAGUGAAAAAGAACCUGAAACCGUGUACGUACAAGCAGUGGGAGCACGCUUAGGCGUGUGACUGCGUACCUUUUGUAUAAUGGGUCAGCGACUUAUAUUCUGUAGCAAGGUUAACCGAAUAGGGGAGCCGAAGGGAAACCGAGUCUUAACUGGGCGUUAAGUUGCAGGGUAUAGACCCGAAACCCGGUGAUCUAGCCAUGGGCAGGUUGAAGGUUGGGUAACACUAACUGGAGGACCGAACCGACUAAUGUUGAAAAAUUAGCGGAUGACUUGUGGCUGGGGGUGAAAGGCCAAUCAAACCGGGAGAUAGCUGGUUCUCCCCGAAAGCUAUUUAGGUAGCGCCUCGUGAAUUCAUCUCCGGGGGUAGAGCACUGUUUCGGCAAGGGGGUCAUCCCGACUUACCAACCCGAUGCAAACUGCGAAUACCGGAGAAUGUUAUCACGGGAGACACACGGCGGGUGCUAACGUCCGUCGUGAAGAGGGAAACAACCCAGACCGCCAGCUAAGGUCCCAAAGUCAUGGUUAAGUGGGAAACGAUGUGGGAAGGCCCAGACAGCCAGGAUGUUGGCUUAGAAGCAGCCAUCAUUUAAAGAAAGCGUAAUAGCUCACUGGUCGAGUCGGCCUGCGCGGAAGAUGUAACGGGGCUAAACCAUGCACCGAAGCUGCGGCAGCGACGCUUAUGCGUUGUUGGGUAGGGGAGCGUUCUGUAAGCCUGUGAAGGUGUGCUGUGAGGCAUGCUGGAGGUAUCAGAAGUGCGAAUGCUGACAUAAGUAACGAUAAAGCGGGUGAAAAGCCCGCUCGCCGGAAGACCAAGGGUUCCUGUCCAACGUUAAUCGGGGCAGGGUGAGUCGACCCCUAAGGCGAGGCCGAAAGGCGUAGUCGAUGGGAAACAGGUUAAUAUUCCUGUACUUGGUGUUACUGCGAAGGGGGGACGGAGAAGGCUAUGUUGGCCGGGCGACGGUUGUCCCGGUUUAAGCGUGUAGGCUGGUUUUCCAGGCAAAUCCGGAAAAUCAAGGCUGAGGCGUGAUGACGAGGCACUACGGUGCUGAAGCAACAAAUGCCCUGCUUCCAGGAAAAGCCUCUAAGCAUCAGGUAACAUCAAAUCGUACCCCAAACCGACACAGGUGGUCAGGUAGAGAAUACCAAGGCGCUUGAGAGAACUCGGGUGAAGGAACUAGGCAAAAUGGUGCCGUAACUUCGGGAGAAGGCACGCUGAUAUGUAGGUGAAGUCCCUUGCGGAUGGAGCUGAAAUCAGUCGAAGAUACCAGCUGGCUGCAACUGUUUAUUAAAAACACAGCACUGUGCAAACACGAAAGUGGACGUAUACGGUGUGACGCCUGCCCGGUGCCGGAAGGUUAAUUGAUGGGGUCAGCGCAAGCGAAGCUCUUGAUCGAAGCCCCGGUAAACGGCGGCCGUAACUAUAACGGUCCUAAGGUAGCGAAAUUCCUUGUCGGGUAAGUUCCGACCUGCACGAAUGGCGUAAUGAUGGCCAGGCUGUCUCCACCCGAGACUCAGUGAAAUUGAACUCGCUGUGAAGAUGCAGUGUACCCGCGGCAAGACGGAAAGACCCCGUGAACCUUUACUAUAGCUUGACACUGAACAUUGAGCCUUGAUGUGUAGGAUAGGUGGGAGGCUUGGAAGUGUGGACGCCAGUCUGCAUGGAGCCGACCUUGAAAUACCACCCUUUAAUGUUUGAUGUUCUAACGUUGACCCGUAAUCCGGGUUGCGGACAGUGUCUGGUGGGUAGUUUGACUGGGGCGGUCUCCUCCUAAAGAGUAACGGAGGAGCACGAAGGUUGGCUAAUCCUGGUCGGACAUCAGGAGGUUAGUGCAAUGGCAUAAGCCAGCUUGACUGCGAGCGUGACGGCGCGAGCAGGUGCGAAAGCAGGUCAUAGUGAUCCGGUGGUUCUGAAUGGAAGGGCCAUCGCUCAACGGAUAAAAGGUACUCCGGGGAUAACAGGCUGAUACCGCCCAAGAGUUCAUAUCGACGGCGGUGUUUGGCACCUCGAUGUCGGCUCAUCACAUCCUGGGGCUGAAGUAGGUCCCAAGGGUAUGGCUGUUCGCCAUUUAAAGUGGUACGCGAGCUGGGUUUAGAACGUCGUGAGACAGUUCGGUCCCUAUCUGCCGUGGGCGCUGGAGAACUGAGGGGGGCUGCUCCUAGUACGAGAGGACCGGAGUGGACGCAUCACUGGUGUUCGGGUUGUCAUGCCAAUGGCACUGCCCGGUAGCUAAAUGCGGAAGAGAUAAGUGCUGAAAGCAUCUAAGCACGAAACUUGCCCCGAGAUGAGUUCUCCCUGACCCUUUAAGGGUCCUGAAGGAACGUUGAAGACGACGACGUUGAUAGGCCGGGUGUGUAAGCGCAGCGAUGCGUUGAGCUAACCGGUACUAAUGAACCGUGAGGCUUAACCUUACAACGCCGAAG
This 2925-nucleotide ribosomal RNA is filed under the name Escherichia coli. RNAcentral describes it as "bacterial LSU rRNA". It matches the Rfam family "Bacterial large subunit ribosomal RNA". Lineage: Bacteria; Pseudomonadati; Pseudomonadota; Gammaproteobacteria; Enterobacterales; Enterobacteriaceae. The record is from RNAcentral.